Molecule: long non-coding RNA, 1383 nt
Organism: Antechinus flavipes (yellow-footed antechinus)
Lineage: Eukaryota; Metazoa; Chordata; Mammalia; Dasyuromorphia; Dasyuridae
Exons: 3
Source: RefSeq, a predicted model, not a curated record
CCAAACAGGAACUGGCCUGCCACCUCCAACUCCCCACCAAGCUGUAAGCAGUGGAGCAGAAAACCAGAUUAUUCUCAGCUGUUGCCCUGCUUAAUUUAAUAUUUCCAACGAGCUCCCUUACCCUCUCCUCUGCAAGGGAAUGCAUAUUUGUGCUGUGUCACAAGACAUCAGCCUGCUGGUGGGGCGAUCCACUGCUCAGCGGUCAUUGCUGUCUGCAAUAUUUUCUCCUUUAUCUAAGAGCUGUGGAUUUUGGCUAUAAUAUUCCUGGGAAUUGUCAUAUGGGGCUUUCUUUGGGAAGCUUGUGAUUGCUGAGCUCACGCUGGAAAGUCCCCCCUCCCAGAAGUGUCAUGCUGUGGCAAGACUGACGAAUGUGUUUCUCCUCCUCCAAGCCAGCUGCAUCCUGAGGACUCAUAGUGAGGCGACUGCAACAUUACCAAAAAAAUAAAAAAAUAAGAAAAAAAGACCCUGGGUUGCUGUUGAAAACUAAGACUUCAUCGAGGAAGAGUCCCAAGUGCAAAGGAUGUCUGAAGGAAUGUCUCUUACCUUAUAUACACAGAGGCAAGGCGCAGAAUGGUGCUCAGAGACUGGAUAAAUGCUGUAUUGUUAGUGGUAACUUUCCACAGAGCAUCUUUCCUAAAGUCUCCAGAAACUGAGAGUAAAAAAGAUAACUAUGUUCAUUUGACAGCUGGGGAAACUGAGGCAUUGGAAGAAAGCAAGGUAAAAGUUCUCCUUUACUGGGGGUUUUCAUACACGAGAUGGAUGAAUGGCCACAUGUCGGAGAGAUGGGAGAAUUCAGUGGUUGGAGUAGAUGACUAUUGAGGUAACAUCCAACUCUCAAAUGCAUGCACCCUAUGGGGCUAUAUUAAAUUAUCUCCUCUGUGACUUUGUUUCUAAAGGUUCUUCAGGGCAGGUAGGGGGCGCCAUAGUGCACAGAGAGCACUUUGCAUCCCCCUCUUCUGAAAUCUGAUUGUGAGACUUCAAUCCAGAGCAGCUAGGAGGCGCCAUAGUGGCCAGAGAGCGCUUUGUGUCCACCUCUUCUGAAAUCUGAUCAUAAAUAUUCAAUCCAGAACAGCUAGGAGGCGCCAUAGUGCCCAGAGAGCACUUUGUGUCCACCUCUUCUGAAAUCUGAUUGUGAGACUUCAAUCCAGAGCAGCUAGGAGGCGCCAUAGUGGCCAGAGAGCGCUUUGUGUCCACCUCUUCUGAAAUCUGAUUGUGAGACUUCAAUCCAGAGCAGCUAGGGGGCGCCAUAAUUCCCAGAGAGCACUUUGUGUCCACCUCUUCUGAAAUCUGAUUGUGAGACUUCAAUCCAGAACAGCUAGGAGGCGCCAUAGUGCCCAGAGAGCACUUUGUGUCCACCUCUUCUGAAAUCUGAUCAUAAAUAUU